UACAGAGGAGCCAAGCGUUGUCCGGAUUGACUGGGCGUAAAGCGCACGCAGGCGGUUGCGCGCGUGGGGGGUGAAAUCUGGCCGCUUAACGGCCAGGCGCCAUCCCAUACGGCGCGACUGGAGUGAUGCAGAGGUCGAUGGAAUUGCCGGUGUAGUGGUGAAAUGCGUAGAGAUCGGCAGGAAUACCCAGGGGGAAACCAGUCGACUGGACAUCUACUGACGCUGAGGUGCGAGAGCGUGGGGAGCGAACCGG
RNAcentral lists this ribosomal RNA (253 nucleotides) under uncultured bacterium. Its description in RNAcentral is "partial 16S ribosomal RNA". It matches the Rfam family "Bacterial small subunit ribosomal RNA", at positions 524 to 776 of the family's 1533-position model. The record is from RNAcentral.